UGGGGAAUAUUAGGCAAUGGGGGCAACCCUGACCUAGCCAUGCCGCGUGGGUGACGAAGGUCCUAGGAUUGUAAAGCCCUUUCAGCGGAGAAGAUGAUGACGGUAUCCGCAGAAGAAGCCCCGGCUAACUCCGUGCCAGCAGCCGCGGUAAGACGGAGGGGGCUAGCGUUGUUCGGAAUUACUGGGCGUAAAGGGCGUGUAGGCGGCCUACUAAGUCAGAGGUGAAAUCCCCGGGCUCAACCUGGGAACUGCCUUUGAUACUGGUGGGCUAGAGUCCGGGAGAGGGUAGUGGAAUUCCCAGUGUAGAGGUGAAAUUCGUAGAUAUUGGGAAGAACACCAGUGGCGAAGGCGGCUACCUGGACCGGAACUGACGCUGAGGCGCGAAAGCGUGGGGAGCAAACAGGAUUAGAUACCCCUGUAGUCC
This 424-nucleotide ribosomal RNA is filed under the name uncultured prokaryote. RNAcentral describes it as "bacterial SSU rRNA". It matches the Rfam family "Bacterial small subunit ribosomal RNA", at positions 355 to 796 of the family's 1533-position model. The record is from RNAcentral.